CCGCUCUCAGCCCCUUCGGCCUCUACCUGAAGAGCCACGCCCCGUCUGCUACACCCAACUGAUUGGUUCCUCAAUCACAGAGAGGAAAGGCAACAUGAGGAUGACGUCAGUUACAAAUAUGGCGUUUUGGACGGGCUCGAUAGUUUGCUUGGCCUCUACUCAAGGAAUGCUGAUGGUAUAGCAAGAAGGUAUUCUGAGCAUUAUAUCAAUGGGGAAGUUCUAGAUCUUUUGCAAAGCAGGAGCAAGCUGCCCUGUUGUGAGCUCUCCGGUGGAGAGCCCCACAUGGCAAGAAAAUGAGAAGCCCCCUGAACAGACAAGAGCUGAGGCCCAGGAUACAAUAUCCUGAAAAAAACUGAAUCCUGCUGACAGUUGCCCAAGUGAAGCUGGAAGUGGAUCUUUCUGCAGUGGAUCCUUGAGAUGACUGUAGCCCUGGCUGACAACUUGAUUGCUGCCUGUGAAGGACCCUGAACCAGAGGACUCAGCGAAAUUGUGCCCAGAUUCCUGACCUACAGAGGCAGUGAGAUAAUAAAUGCUGUUGAGGUCACAAAGUUUUGAGGUAUUUGUUAAUACAGCAAUGGAUACUUAAUACAGCUUCCUACAUGGUCUCCCUCCUUCGACCUUUACACUACAAUCUGUCGUCCACACAGCAGUCAGAGAUCCUUUUAAAACAUAAGUCAGAUCAUCAUGACACUCACCUCCCUGCUAAGUGUCCUGCAAGGCCUUUCACGGUCUGAUCCCCUAUCCUUUCUCUUUCCUCAUCUCCUAUCACUCUUGCCCUUGCAAAUUUUCUUCCAGCACUCUGGCCUCCUUGCUGUUCUUCAGUAUGGCAAGCAACCUGCUGCCCGGAGCCCACACACUGACUGUCCCCUCUCCUAGGACACUCUUCCCUCAAGGGCUCCCAUAUCUUGCCUGCUGGCUCCUGCAUCUUCUUCAAGUCUGCUCAAAUGUCACCUUCUCAGUGAGGCCCAUCCUGGCUAUCCUCUUUCAGUUCUGACAGAAAAUAAUUUAUUGCUUUAUUACAUCAUUAUUUUGUUGUCUUCCCUCCGUCUGUUCCUACUAAAAUUUAAUCUCUGAGAAAGCAGAAAACGUUGUCUUGUUCUUUCCUGUAACCCAAGUGCCUUGAACAUUGCCUCAUUAAUUGCUUGCGCUCAGUAAUAUGUGUUGAAUAAAUGGGUUAAGUAGUUUAUUAAUUGUGAAACUAAAUCCUGUCUGAAAGGUUUGGAGCAGCUUGUUGAAAUAGCAAAUGGAGAUUCUGUGUUUUAAGUUGUGGCUAAGGUAGAAUCAUCCAUGAUGUAUGUGGAGCCAGCUCCUGUGUCCUGGACUUAAACAUCUGUAUCUGACGUGUGGGUAAUUAUAUUGCUAUCCUACACCUUUGACCCAUUCAUCUCGGCUCACCUGUGAUCCAGGCUAUGCUACUAAAGUUGGGUGAGAGAGUCUGCAACACAAGGAAAACAUAGAGCCAUCAUUUAGUAAAUCAAACCCAUAAUAAUACAUUUUGUUGUUAAAUGUAGCCAAUCUCUGAGUAUUUUUUAUUAAAGUAUCUCUAAUGUUUAAAAA
This 1557-nucleotide long non-coding RNA is filed under the name Homo sapiens (human). RNAcentral's name for it is "non-protein coding ENTPD3-AS1:6". Lineage: Eukaryota; Metazoa; Chordata; Mammalia; Primates; Hominidae. The record is from RNAcentral.